RNAcentral lists this transfer RNA (70 nucleotides) under Orthotheres barbatus. Its description in RNAcentral is "tRNA-Leu". The record is from RNAcentral. Lineage: Eukaryota; Metazoa; Arthropoda; Malacostraca; Decapoda; Pinnotheridae.
UUUAGGAUCCUAUAAAAUAGAAUAGUCUAUAAGUAACUGAGUAAUAAGAUCUAAUUACUUUGUGAUUUUA